This is an RNA transcript of Piliocolobus tephrosceles (Ugandan red Colobus), 6320 nucleotides long. It is a transcript of the gene named sorting nexin 19, with no coding region annotated. The transcript has 12 exons. Lineage: Eukaryota; Metazoa; Chordata; Mammalia; Primates; Cercopithecidae. The record is from RefSeq and is a predicted model, not a curated record.
AUGCCUUGCUCCCGUCGACGUCGACCCGGAAGCUGUCGCCGGCGGCCGGCCGGCGGUCAGCCUUAACACCGGCCGGGCUGCGGAGCGCGGUCGCCCAGGUUUGCGGCGGCAGCGGGCCGAGGCCAGCGGAGAGGACCUGGAUGAGCCCACUUCAGGUCGGGGCUGAGUGUGGGCGCGCGGCUCCCGGCGGCGUGUGACCCAGUCUCUGCCGGCCGCUGCCCUCUGCGUGUGUAAGUGUCCGUGGGCCCCAGGGCCCUGCACCGCCCGCCCCGAGGCCGCGAAGAGGCCUUCCGCCUGGGGCAGUAUGAAGGCCGCGGAGUUUUCCUCCAAAGCCGCACCUCGGCUGGAAGGGGCGAGUUCGAGGGCUCUGUUAGUGUCAGCAAUGGGGAGACGCGGAGCUGCCGCUGUCGCUUUGCAGUGUCUGUAGGACUUUGAUGGCCCGGAGCCCCGGUUCCCUGGAGAACACCCAGAUCGCCCCGUAGGAGACACAGUUCAUGCCCCCCUUCCCGAACUCUGAAGUAAAAUCUUGAGGGCUGUCAUCUGGGGAAGCCACCUUGUCCCUUCAGCCAUGAAGACAGAAACAGUACCACCGUUCCAGGAGACUCCAGCUGGAUCCGGCUGUCACCUCAAUAGCCUGUUGAGUAGCCGGAAGCUGAUGGCUGUGGGGGUCUUGCUUGGCUGGCUCCUGGUCAUACACCUUCUGGUCAAUGUGUGGCUGCUGUGCCUUCUGUCUGCAUUGCUAGUGGUGCUGGGAGGAUGGCUGGGCUCCAGCGUCGCUGGAGCGGCUUCGGGUCGACUGCAUCUGGAACGCUUCAUCCCAUUGGCCACCUGUCCUCCAUGCCCUGAGGCAGAAAGGCAGCUGGAACAGGAGAUCAACCGCACCAUCCAGAUGAUUAUUCGAGAUUUUGUGUUAUCCUGGUACCGUUCCGUGAGCCAGGAGCCAGCCUUUGAGGAGGAAAUGGAGGCAGCCAUGAAAGGGUUGGUCCAGGAGCUUCGGAGAAGGAUGAGCAUGAUGGACUGUCGUGCUCUUGCCCAGAGUGUUCUGACUCUCUGUGGUUGUCACCUGCAGAGCUACAUUCAGGCAAAGGAGGCCACUGCAGGGAAGAAUGGUCCCGUUGAGCCUUCUCACCUCUGGGAGGCUUACUGCCGGGCUACUGCCCCACAUCCUGCUGUGCACAGCCCCAGUGCUGAAGUCACCCAUACACGUGGCGUUGUGAAUUUGUUGCUUCAAGGGCUGGUGCCCAAGCCCCACUUGGAGACUCGUACCGGACGCCAUGUAGUGGUCGAACUGAUCACAUGCAAUGUAAUCUUACCACUGAUCAGCAGACUGUCAGAUCCUGACUGGAUCCACCUUGUGCUCGUGGGUAUCUUUUCCAAGGCCAGAGAUCCAGCACCCUCCCCAGCCAGUGCCCCCGAACAGCCCUCAGUGCCCACAUCUCUGCCACUGAUUGCUGAGGUAGAGCAGCUUCCAGAAGGGAGAACUUCUCCAGUAGCAGCCCCAGUAUUUCUAAGUUACAGUGAGCCAGAGGGUCCUGCAGGCCCCUCCCCAGAGGUUGAAGAAGGCCACGAAGCUGUGGAGGGAGAUUUGAGUGGGAUGUGUGAAGAAAGAAAAGUGGGAAACAACUCAUCUCAUUUCCUACAGCCAAAUCUUCGAGGUCCCCUGUUCUUAUGUGAAGACUCAGAGCUGGAGUCUCCGCUGUCUGAACUGGGCAAAGAAACCAUCAUGCUCAUGACUCCAGGCCACUUUCUCUCUGACAGGAUUCAGGAUGCCCUGUGUGCCCUAGAGGGUUCCCAGGCUCUGGAAGCCAAAGAUGGUGAGGCAUCUGAAGGAGCAGAGGCUGAGGAGGGUCCAGGGACAGAAACAGAGACAGGCCUGCUGGUCUCCACACUGAAUUCCUACCCAGAGAUCCAGAUCGACACAGCAGACAAGGAGAUAGAACAAGGAGAGGUUACCACCUCUGUUACAGCUUUGCUGGAAGGGCCAGAAAAGACCUGCGCCUCUCGGCCCUCAUGCUUAGAGAAGGAUCUCACCCAUGAUGUGCGCUCCCUUGAUCCUACUCUGCCACCAGUUGUGCUUUCCUCCUCUCCACCUGGUCCUCUCAGCUCUGCCACCUUCAGCUUUGAGCCCCUAAGCAGUCCAGAUGGCCCAGUUAUCAUCCAGAACCUUCGUAUCACUGGCACCAUUACAGCCCGAGAGCACAGUGGCACUGGAUUCCACCCAUACACACUCUAUACUGUGAAGUACGAGACAGCCCUUGAUGGUGAAAACAGCAGCGGCCUGCAGCAGCUGGCCUACCACACUGUGAAUCGUCGCUAUCGAGAGUUCUUGAAUCUGCAGACGCGUCUGGAGGAGAAACCAGAUCUACGAAAGUUCACCAAAAAUGUGAAGGGUCCUAAAAAGCUCUUUCCAGAUCUUCCAUUUGGAAAUAUGGACAGUGACAGAGUAGAAGCCCGUAAGAGCCUCCUAGAAUCAUUCCUAAAGCAACUCUGUGCCAUUCCGGAGAUCGCUAACAGUGAGGAGGUGCAGGAGUUCCUUGCUCUGAACACAGAUGCUCGUAUUGCCUUUGUCAAGAAACCAUUUAUGGUCUCUAGAAUAGACAAGAUGGUGGUGAGUGCCAUUGUGGACACCUUGAAGACAGCGUUUCCUCGCUCUGAACCCCAGAGCCCCACAGAGGAGCUGAGUGAGGCCGAGACCGAAAGCAAGUCCCAGACAGAAGGCAAGAAGGCUGGCAAGUCCAGGCUGAGGUUCUCAUCCAGUAAAAUUUCGCCAGCACUAAGUGUGACUGAAGCACAAGACAAGAUUCUGUAUUGUCUCCAGGAAGGCAAUGUGGAGUCCGAGACCCUAUCCAUGUCUGGGAUGGAAUCUUUUGUUGAAAAACAGACAAAGUUACUGGAAAUGCAGCCAACAAAAGCCCCAGAAAAAGAUCCUGAACAGCCCCCUAAAGGACAUGUGGACAGUUGCUUGUCAGAUGCAGCUGUGCCAGCCCAAGACCCCAGCAACAGCGAUCCAGGAACAGAGACAGAGUUAGCUGACACAGCCCUAGAUCUGCUCCUCUUGCUACUAACAGAACAGUGGAAAUGGCUGUGUACCGAAAACAUGCAGAAGUGUCUUCGUCUUAUCUUUGGGACCCUAGUUCAAAGGUGGCUAGAGGUGCAGAUAGCUAAUCUAACAAGUCCACAGCUCUGGGUGCAGUACCUCAGGCUUCUUCAGGAGUCCAUCUGGCCUGGUGGAGUUUUGCCUAAGUUUCCACGGCCUGUAAGGACCCAGGAGCAGAAACUGGCUGCUGAGAAACAGGCUUUGCAGAGCCUGAUGGGAGUCCUCCCAGAUCUCGUAGUAGAAAUUCUUGGGGUGAACAAAUGCCGGGUGAGCUGGGGUCUAGUCUUGGAGUCACUACAACAACCACUCAUCAACAGGCAUUUGAUUUACUGUCUUGGGGACAUCAUCCUGGAAUUCCUGGAUCUCAGUGCCUCUCUUGAGAAGUCUGCUGCUACCACCUCUGCCUUGGAUACCCCAGGCAACUCUAAGAGGAUGGGUGUCUCCUCUUAGCUGGUUAUUCACGCAUUCUUCCCAGUUCAGGGAAGUAGAGUUACUCGGCCACCAAAGACCAUUCAGGAAGCCUGUGCCCUCUUGAAAUAGGCUACAGCUAAGAAGGCCUAGGUUCUCAGUGGCUCGCUUCCCUCCCACUUCUGCUCCAUUUGUAGCAGGUGACAGGGGUCUAUGUGUCCCAGUUGCAUGCACAUUUAUUUCCAUGUUUCUUUUGGAACACUGGGAUUGUUGCUGGUGAGUAGAUCCUGUUUCCUUUGGGAAAAGAAGCUGUGAGGUAGAGGAAUGAGCCCCUUUUGCUUCUCCUUUUGCCAUCCUCCCUGAGAUUGUUUCCCAGAAUCCUGGCCCUGUGCACACAUGUGCUUAAUCCACCAGCACACAAGCUCUGCAUAGAACAGGGAAAAAAACUGUGGCCAGAUUUCCUUGGAGGAGAAAACAACCUUCUGAGCUCUCUGUUCCUAACCGGAAACUAAAAAUUCAUUCAGGGCCAUUCUCACAAACCAGACUCCUGGGUCUAAUCUAGUUUCCCAACAGUUCCAGAAGAAGAAGGAGGGAAGAAAAUUUUUCAAGGAACUUCUUGCUCAUGUGUUGCUGUUUCCCAACACAUCAGCCUUAUGGAAGAUGUCAUGAGGCUGCUUCCUUGGGAGGCUACAUUUUUCCUUUCCAGAAGACUUCAAACUGACUGCCAAAGCUUCUGUAACAGACUCUGCAACCCAGUCCCUGGUGAAAGGGCUCCACACCCACCCGUUUUGUGUGUAUAAUGCUGAGCUAAAGUGGGAAGGAGCAGUAACACCAAAGGAGGCUAAUUCUCUUCCUGUCAGUAUGAGAGAGUCUGUGCCCCAGUAAGUGAAAAGGGAAGGCAUGAAAAGGGAAAAAUCAGCCUUCUGGAAGCACCUUCUUACCACAAGAAAACAGGUGAUUCAGAGUAUCUUCGAGACUCAGCCAGAUUGUGUCUAACUCUUCAGGCAAUAUGAAGGCAGAGAUGGAGCCAUUUCAGAGAACAGAUUUUUUUUUUAAUCAUUUCGUUCUUUGGAAUUGUCACGGGAUUAUGAUGUGGGUUCUCAUAAAAAUUUCCCUCACCCGAAACCCACCCAAAAGAAAGGCAGUGAAAUGGGGAGGAACACACAUUUGCCUGGCCUCAGAAGAACUGCCUUGUAGUCAUGGGUUCUAGUGAUCUUGGACCAAUCUCUUCACUUCCCUGGACUUCAGUUUCUUCCAUACAAAGAAGUUGAACUGGAUCAUAGAAAAGUCGCUGUCCAGCUUGGUAGUAUCAGAUAGGGAGCAGAAGCUGUCUCUUAGUGCAUGGCCAGAUUCCGGAACCACGAUGAUAGACUCCAUGUUUCUCCUAAAAAUGAGUCUCAUCUCAGUAGAGAUUUCUUCCACCUCAUUUGGGUCUCAAUUUAAGGAAGGAAGAAAGGAAAGAAACCUUGGGAUUCUCUUCUUGAAAGGAAUAUACUUGACUUUCUCUAGGCUUCUAGGAUCAAAACUUCCUAUCCUUCAUUUUUCGUCUUUAAACCUGCCAAAAUCAGGUUGACUAAAGAUACUAUACAGAUAUGUAAAAGAAGCUGCAUCCUGAAAUUUUCACGGAGUGCAAGAGCCUGCUCACCGCCAGUUAGCCUUUCCCAGGAUGGUGGUGGCCCUGAUCAUCCAAGUCACACUUUUAUGUUCAUGUCCCACAGCGUUUCCCAUCAGCCAUCUCAUUUCAUCUUUUCAUCAUUCCUCUGAGGAACAGACUUCACACAUGUAUAGGACUUUUUAUAUCACAAAGUAUUUCAUUUCCAAUGUCUUAUUUAGAUCUUGACAAUCACUGUUUAAGGUGAUUUGGCAAGUUAUUAAUACUCAUGUCCUCAUUCUGCUGAAGAGGAAACUGACAUGCAGAGAGUUUGUCUUCUGCCCAAGAUCACUCCCUCCUUUACUGGGAGGCAGCAGCGCAGGGAUUAAGAACAUGGGCUAUGCCGACAGCCAACCAGGUAGAAUCCCAGCUCUGCCAGUGUCCUUAGGAAAGGAUUUCACACUUCUGUGGCUUAGUUUUCUUGUCCAUUAAAUGCUCAUAAGAAUAGUGCUUUCCUCACAGAGAUUGGGUGGGCAAGGGAGCUAAAUGAGCUAAUAUAUUUAAGAACAACCUCUAGCACACAGUGCAUAAUAAAUGUCAUUAUUAUUAGCAAAGCCAGGACCUGGGUCUUCCAGCAUCUAGCUCAGUGGCAUUUCCGCUGCCCUACACCAGGACUAUCCUUUGUAUACAGGUGUGAACCUAAAGCCUUCAGUGUUUCAAUGAAAAGUUCACCUAAGGUCUUUCUGUUCAGUAAGUCUAGAGCUAAGGGCUCCUGGCACUCUGUUCAGUCCUUUUGCUGUUAAACCACACUGCCCUCCGUUGCUGUGGGCAGAAUGUCAGACCUUACGUUUUUAAAAUGUAUAAACCAAGCACUCUUAUUUAAUAUUACUGACAGCCUGAAGGCAGACACUCCCACUCUUCUGGGGAAGGGGGUCUUCUAAUCUGCCAUCUUAAGGAGAUAAAACGGCUUGAUUGGGUAGCUCAUUGCAGUGGGCACAUGUUUAUUACUGUCUCCCAGCCUUUUCUCAUGCUGUUUGUCUGCUGGAAUUGCCACUGGUGCCAGGCCAUUUGAAUAUUUGACCGUUUGUCUUAGAAUUCUCUGAGUACAAAUCUUGUUUUCCAUACCUUUAUUAGGUACUUUUUAAGAAUGAAGACUGCGUUGUAUGUUGCUUUGUACUCUCUCCUGCACAUCAAAAAUGCUUAGUAAAUAGAUAUACAAAUGUU